Molecule: long non-coding RNA, 1104 nt
Organism: Phyllostomus discolor (pale spear-nosed bat)
Lineage: Eukaryota; Metazoa; Chordata; Mammalia; Chiroptera; Phyllostomidae
Exons: 3
Source: RefSeq, a predicted model, not a curated record
UGACUGAAGUUGAAACAUGUAAGAAUGAAUACGCAAUGUUUUCUAAAUAAAUUCCAGGUUUUGGAGGUCUCCCCUCAUAUGGUGGGUACCAAGAACUGAUGCGCCACUGAGCAAUCCCAACACUUCAGCACAGCCAAGGAGAUAGUGGGCUGUUGCUCUUAGAAAGCCACGAUGUAAGCUAGCACUGCCUGGACUGUGGGUCUCUUGCUAUGUAUGUAACCCACACAGAGACUGUGAUCAUCUGCUCAGCUUUUAUGGCAGCCCCUUAGCUUCACAGCAUCUUUAUCUCUCUUCUGCCUCUGUACUUCUGUUAGGAACACAUAUAUCCAGACGUGGUGGUUAUGGGGUGGUGAUGUCUUCACUCCAUCCACGUUGGUUUUUUCAAGAAACCUUAUUUUAUUUCUUUAUCCUGGCAUUUCAGUGUCUGAAAAUCAGGAAAAACAUAAUAAUAUGUGGGCAUUUGUGAGCUGUGUGCCUGGAUCCAGGAUGAGUGGAGGACAAUGAAGGCAGUGUAUCAUGCAACCGUGGUAAACUCCCAGUGCCCAGAGAACCUGGUCCCCUGGCUUUCUGCCCUGAGACACUAGCUGUACCAUGCCAUCGUCAUGGGGAUUUAUAUGUUGAGGAAACACAUCCCUUCCCUGUCAUAAGUAAGAGGACACCUGAGUGUUAAGUUGCAGCAUCUUCUAACUUCCCAGACUCAUCAGCAGGAUUGUCUCUUGUCUGGGACUUUAGUAUAGAACUUGUUCCUAGAAAAAUGUUCCUAGUUUGCAUGUUCUGGAUAGUACAUUAUCAGAUGGGUGGCCAGAAAGAUGGAAGCAAAAAAUUUUUAUGUGCUGCAUUUUGAUUAGUUUCUAGGGAGCUGUAUCACCCUUCAGGUAGUCAUCACCAAAGAAACUGGUAUCAUUCUGCUCUGCUCAUCUCAUCUGCUACUUUCAUCCAGUCACUUUUCUGUUCAGUGUCUUCAAGUAUCUCCAGCUCACAGCCAGACCUGCAUGCUUUCAGAGUGGGAAGGAUGACAUUGGCAGUCUACAGGGGCCCUGACCAAUUUGCAAAAGAACCCCUGUGUGCCAGGCUGUCAACUGACCUUAAAUCCGUAUUUCUCUA